RNAcentral lists this unclassified non-coding RNA (348 nucleotides) under soil metagenome. RNAcentral's name for it is "partial contains 5.8S ribosomal RNA, internal transcribed spacer 2, and large subunit ribosomal RNA". The stretch from base 1 to 120 matches the Rfam family "5.8S ribosomal RNA", at positions 35 to 154 of the family's 154-position model. The record is from RNAcentral.
GAUGAAGAACGCAGCAAAAUGCGAUAAGUAAUGUGAAUUGCAGAAUUCAGUGAAUCAUCGAAUCUUUGAACGCACAUUGCGCCCGCUGGUAUUCCGGCGGGCAUGCCUGUUCGAGCGUCAUUUCAACCCUCAAGCCCCCGGGUUUGGUGUUGGGGAUCGGCUCUGCCCUUCUGGGCGGUGCCGCCCCCGAAAUACAUUGGCGGUCUCGCUGCAGCCUCCAUUGCGUAGUAGCCAACACCUCGCAACUGGAACGCGGCGCGGCCAUGCCGUAAAACCCCAACUUCUGAAUGUUGACCUCGGAUCAGGUAGGAAUACCCGCUGAACUUAAGCAUAUCAAUAAGCGGAGGA